Anopheles gambiae (African malaria mosquito) is the source of this 1148-nucleotide long non-coding RNA. RefSeq lists it as uncharacterized. The record is from RefSeq and is a predicted model, not a curated record. The transcript is spliced from 2 exons. NCBI's taxonomy places the organism in Eukaryota, Metazoa, Arthropoda, Insecta, Diptera, Culicidae.
CAUACAGCAUAAAUGAUCUGAGACUAUCAGUUUAGUCGAAACUAUUGUUGUGCACGGAAUUUUUUUUACACAUUACUGUACUCACUGUUAAUUAAAUUUUAAACAACCUUAAGGUACAUCUUAGGGGAACUUCUAUAGAUACAUCGGAUUGCGUAUAAGGAACUCGAUAAAGUUUGUAAAGCUACAUUGUGAAGCGAGACCUGUCCGACACCGGGUGUCUACAUGAAUGGGAGGCCGAGCAUCCUGAAGAAUGAUUGUUGAUCGGGCCAUGUCACACCGACGUGCUCGAUCGUGAGCAAGCCAACAAGGGAGAGAAAUAUUGCACAUAAAGCUAUGAGAGCUUCGGAUAAAGGAGGCAUGCGGCGCAAAAUGGAUACCCUCAAUUUAAACACAGGUAACGUAAACUCAAAGACUCAAUAUGCAUUCAUUAGACUGUGUUAUUAAUUAUAUGUAGGUUUCAUUACUAGCUAUUUAUAAAACAAAUUUAAUCCCUGGUAAAAUGAUAACCGAUAGAAUGAGUAUGACCAGCGUUACUUAUCAGGUAGAUACAAUAAUCCACGUCGUACAUAUAUCGUACUCACAAACGCCUCCGAGUCAUGACAACAGUCAACAUCUAACGAAACCCUUCUUGGCCACGUUCGAGAGGAAGAUGCUCAGAAGGAUCUUUGGCUACGUAUGUGUGAAAAGACGAUACAGUAACAGGAUACAACGACGUGCAGCCUUUCAUAGUCGUUCAGCCUAUCAAGCGAUAGCCCGGCCAAGUUCUACGCAUAAAACCCAUCCAGUCCGUCAGUCUGUCAAGAGAUUUAUAGUGACUUUGGUCCUUUUGGACUCUUUCGUCACGUGCGCUAAAACCUUUUUUCCAACGGGAUUUUUUUCACUUUCUUGUUCUUUGUAGAAUGAGAAAAAAAUAAGGUAUACAUGGAUUGGUAGGGAUGGGAUGUUGAGGUGGUAGCACCGCACAACACAGUAAAAAGUGCUACUUGACCUAUUACUAGGGAAAGCGGGGCAAAGUGGGCAUGUUUAGCAGUUUACUGAAUAUUCCUUUGAAUAUGCCACAAAACACAACUUUUGUUUCCUUAUUGUAUGCCUCCACCCUUUAUCUGUGGAUUAAAAUUGCCACAUAGAAUAAAAACUACUUAAAAUCA